Molecule: ribosomal RNA, 253 nt
Filed under: uncultured bacterium
Lineage: Bacteria
Description: partial 16S ribosomal RNA
Rfam family: Bacterial small subunit ribosomal RNA
Source: RNAcentral
UACGGAGGGUGCGAGCGUUGUCCGGAAUCAUUGGGCGUAAAGGGCGCGUAGGUGGCCCGGUCAGUCCGUGGUGAAAUCUCUGAGCUUAACUCAGAAACUGCCAUGGAUACUAUUUGUCUUGAAUAUUGUGGAGGUCAGCGGAAUAUGUCAUGUAGCGGUGAAAUGCUUAGAUAUGACAUAGAACACCAAUUGCGAAGGCAGCUGGCUACACAGUUAUUGACGCUGAGGCACGAAAGCGUGGGGAUCAAACAGG